GCAACCGCUGCCGCCGAGUGAUUUCCGCCGCCGCUUCCCUCUGACUCGGAACCCCUCUGGGCUGCGCCUCCCUUGUGACCCUGUUUUUCCGCUCGCACCGCAGGCGGCCGGGCAGGAGUCGCGGGGUCAGCGCGCUGGGGGCACUCGCAGCUCUCCGGUCAACCCCAGCGAGCCGUCGGCGGCUGCAGAGCCGGCUCUUCUCAGUCCCUCCAGCGGCGGCUGCUGCUUCCUCUCACCCCGGGAGCAUGCUGUUUACAUCUGAAACGUGAACAUGGUGAAGAAAAGCCAUGCCAUGAACAGGAUAGCUCUUUCUUGGAGUCUCUGUAAAUCCUGCUGGUAGGAUACAUACUGAGUAUAUAUUUUGCUUCUGAGAAGACCAAGGAAAACUAUUUUCGAAUGGGAUGAAUAUGCAGCCAUUGACUACUUACGAACUAUAAUUUAAUGACUGAUUAAUCAUCAGGAGCACUUAAUUAGUGAUGUUUCCAUUCUCACAUUAUCCUGUUUGAGUUCGUUUGCCUUGAUUUAAAAAAAAAAAAAUUCAAAG
RNAcentral lists this long non-coding RNA (544 nucleotides) under Pelusios castaneus (West African mud turtle). RNAcentral's name for it is "lncRNA (ENSPCEG00000001680.1)". The record is from RNAcentral. Lineage: Eukaryota; Metazoa; Chordata; Testudines; Pelomedusidae.